RNAcentral lists this ribosomal RNA (484 nucleotides) under uncultured bacterium. Its description in RNAcentral is "partial 16S ribosomal RNA". It matches the Rfam family "Bacterial small subunit ribosomal RNA", at positions 28 to 523 of the family's 1533-position model. The record is from RNAcentral.
GAUGAACGCUGGCGGCGUGCUUAACACAUGCAAGUCGAACGGUGAAGCAGGAGCUUGCUCUUGUGGAUCAGUGGCGAACGGGUGAGUAACACGUGAGCAACCUGCCCCUGACUCUGGGAUAAGCGCUGGAAACGGCGUCUAAUACUGGAUAUGUGAUGUGACCGCAUGGUCUGCAUCUGGAAAGAAGUUCGGUGGGGGAUGGGCUCGCGGCCUAUCAGCUUGUUGGGGAGGGAAUGGCUCACCAAGGCGUCGACGGGUAGCCGGCCUGAGAGGGUGACCGGCCACACUGGGACUGAGACACGGCCCAGACUCCUACGGGAGGCAGCAGUGGGGAAUAUUGCACAAUGGGCGGAAGCCUGAUGCAGCAACGCCGCGUGAGGGAUGACGGCCUUCGGGUUGUAAACCUCUUUUAGCAGGGAAGAAGCGAAAGUGACGGUACCUGCAGAAAAAGCACCGGCUAACUACGUGCCAGCAGCCGCCGUAA